CACAGGUGUGGGGGGGUGGGAAGCAUCAAACGAAGACUUUGAGUAACUCUACCAGGCGUGGGUCCUUGUAGAGCUUUUCCUCCAGAGCCAGCUCCUCCCGCCUCCUCACCGAUUGAGCCGCUGCUCCAGGAUGCGGAUGCGGAACAUGGCCUGAGAGCAGUAACUCAGAUGGAGAUGGUCAGCGCGUGCGCCUCCUCCUCUUCCUCCCGAAGCUUCAGGAUCUCCAGCACCUGAAUUGGGAAGUGGGGGCAGACACGGUUAAGACACCCCCCCACCUCUGCCACCUCGCAUCUGCCCGCUCUCCUGUGGGACCCGACCUCCAGC
Molecule: long non-coding RNA, 324 nt
Organism: Hippopotamus amphibius kiboko
Lineage: Eukaryota; Metazoa; Chordata; Mammalia; Artiodactyla; Hippopotamidae
Exons: 3
Source: RefSeq, a predicted model, not a curated record